RNAcentral lists this ribosomal RNA (1389 nucleotides) under metagenome. RNAcentral's name for it is "SSU rRNA". It matches the Rfam family "Eukaryotic small subunit ribosomal RNA", at positions 169 to 1509 of the family's 1831-position model. The record is from RNAcentral.
ACCAGACAGUUCUUCGGAGCUGUUCGGAAGUAUUUAUUAGAUAAAACAAGGCCAAGUCAGCCGGUAAAACGGUUGGACUAAGGUGAAUCAUAAUAACUGUUCGGACCGCAAGGUGCUUCGCGCACGGCGGUAGGUCAUUCAAAUUUCUGCCCUAUCAGCUUUCGAUGGUAGUGUAGUGGACUACCAUGGCAUUGACGGGUAACGGAGAAUUAGGGUUCGAUUCCGGAGAGGGAGCCUGAGAAAUGGCUACCACAUCCAAGGAUGGCAGCAGGCGCGCAAAAUCCCCAAUCCUGAUUCAGGGAGGGUGUGACAAAAAAUAACAAUACUGGAUCUAACGGUCUGGUAAUUGGAAUGAGUACAACUUAAAUCCCUUAACGAGGUUCAAUUGGAGGGCAAGUCUGGUGCCAGCAGCCGCGGUAAUUCCAGCUCCAAUAGCGUAUACUAAAAUUGUUGCAGUUAAAAAGCUCGUAGUUGGAUUUCUGGCAAGGAGAGGUUAUUGAGCUCCGUGUGUUAGGGUAACACCUGGCGCAUGUUGGGUUCAGUAUUCACCUUUCUGCCAUCAUUCGUGGAGAGUAACUCGGCUCUUAAUUGAGUUGGGCUAUAAUCCCGAUCAAUUACUUUGAAAAAAUUAGAGUGUUCAAAGCAGGCGUAAGCAAUGAAUACAUUAGCAUGGAAUAAUGAGAAUGGACUUUAGUCCUAAUCAUUGGUUGUCAGGACCGAAGCCUAUUGAUAGGGAUAGUUGGGGGUGCUAGUAUUCAACGGCCAGAGGCGAAAUUCUGUGAUUCGUUGAGGACUAACAAAUGCGAAAGCAUUCACCAAGGAUGUCUUCUUUAAUCAAGAACGAAGUUGGGGGAUCGAAGACGAUCAGAUACCGUCGUAGUCUCAACCAUAAACAAUGCCAACUAGGGAUUGGUGGACGUUAGACUAACAAUCAAGACUCCAUCAGCACCUUAUGAGAAAUUAAGAGUCUUUGGGUUCCGGGGGAAGUCCGAUCGCAAGGUUGAAACUUAAAGGAAUUGACGGAAGGACACCACCAGAAAUGGAGCCUGCGGCUUAAUUUGACCCAACACGGGAAAACUUACCAGGUCCGGACAUAGUGAGGAUUGACAGAUUGAAGAUCUUUCUUGAUUCUAUGGGUGGUGGUGCAUGGUCGUUCUUAGUUGGUGGAGUGAUUGUCUGGUUAAUUCCGUUAACGAACGAGACCUCAGCCUGCUAAGUAGAUGGGUGAAAUGCUGACUCGUUUAGCUUUUUGCUUCAGGAGUAGUCCUUCGGGAUUGCUUCUUCAUCUUCUUAGAGGGACUUUUGGUGUCUAGCCAAAGGAAGUUUGAGGCAAUAACAGGUCUGUGAUGCCCUUAGAUGUUCUGGGCUGCACGUGCGCUACACUGUUGU